RNAcentral lists this ribosomal RNA (253 nucleotides) under uncultured bacterium. RNAcentral's name for it is "partial 16S ribosomal RNA". It matches the Rfam family "Bacterial small subunit ribosomal RNA", at positions 524 to 776 of the family's 1533-position model. The record is from RNAcentral.
UACGUAGGGUGCAAGCGUUGUUCGGAGUUACUGGGCGUAAAGAGUGCGUAGGUGGUGCCCUAAGUCUGUUGUGAAAUCUCCCGGCUUAACUGGGAGGGUGCGGUGGAAACUGGGGUGCUUGAGUGUGGGAGAGGUAAGCGGAAUUCCUGGUGUAGCGGUGAAAUGCGUAGAUAUCAGGAGGAACACCGGUGGUGUAGACGGCUUACUGGACCACGACUGACACUGAGGCACGAAAGCGUGGGUAGCAAACAGG